Molecule: ribosomal RNA, 1048 nt
Filed under: uncultured soil bacterium
Lineage: Bacteria
Description: bacterial SSU rRNA
Rfam family: Bacterial small subunit ribosomal RNA
Source: RNAcentral
GAGUUUGAUCCUGGCUCAGGACGAACGCUGGCGGCGUGCUUAACACAUGCAAGUCGAACGGAAAGGCCCUGCUUUUGUGGGGUGCUUGAGUGGCGAACGGGUGAGUAACACGUGAGUAACCUGCCCUUGACUUUGGGAUAACUUCAGGAAACUGGGGCUAAUACCGGAUAGGAGCUCCUGCUGCAUGGUGGGGGUUGGAAAGUUUCGGCGGUUGGGGAUGGACUCGCGGCUUAUCAGCUUGUUGGUGGGGUAGUGGCUUACCAAGGCUUUGACGGGUAGCCGGCCUGAGAGGGUGACCGGCCACAUUGGGACUGAGAUACGGCCCAGACUCCUACGGGAGGCAGCAGUGGGGAAUAUUGCACAAUGGGCGGAAGCCUGAUGCAGCAACGCCGCGUGCGGGAUGACGGCCUUCGGGUUGUAAACCGCUUUCGCCUGUGACGAAGCGUGAGUGACGGUAAUGGGUAAAGAAGCACCGGCUAACUACGUGCCAGCAGCCGCGGUGAUACGGAGGGUGCAAGCGUUAAUCGGAAUUAUUGGGCGUAAAGGGCUCGUAGGUGGUUGAUCGCGUCGGAAGUGUAAUCUUGGGGCUUAACCCUGAGCGUGCUUUCGAUACGGGUUGACUUGAGGAAGGUAGGGGAGAAUGGAAUUCCUGGUGGAGCGGUGGAAUGCGCAGAUAUCAGGAGGAACACCAGUGGCGAAGGCGGUUCUCUGGGCCUUUCCUGACGCUGAGGAGCGAAAGCGUGGGGAGCGAACAGGCUUAGAUACCCUGGUAGUCCACGCUGUAAACGGUGGGUACUAGGUGUGGGGUCCAUUCCACGGGUUCCGUGCCGUAGCUAACGCUUUAAGUACCCCGCCUGGGGAGUACGGCCGCAAGGCUAAAACUCAAAGGAAUUGACGGGGCCCCGCACAAGCGGCGGAGCAUGCGGAUUAAUUCGAUGCAACGCGUAGAACCUUACCUGGGUUUGACAUGGAUCGGGAGUGCUCAGAGAUGGGUGUGCCUCUUUUGGGGUCGGUUCACAGGUGGUGCAUGGCUGUCGUCAGCUCGUGU